UCGAUCAUCAUCAUCAUGAUCAACCCAUCGCCGGCUCACUACAGAGCACGGGUAUCCUCUCAGAGUGAAAGUAGUUUUGGCCAUAGUAUACCAUGCUGGCCAUGUGUGGAUUGGCAAACUUCACACACCUUUGAGGACAUUAUAUAGA
Maniola jurtina (meadow brown) is the source of this 148-nucleotide long non-coding RNA. RefSeq lists it as uncharacterized. The transcript has 3 exons. NCBI's taxonomy places the organism in Eukaryota, Metazoa, Arthropoda, Insecta, Lepidoptera, Nymphalidae. The record is from RefSeq and is a predicted model, not a curated record.